Molecule: long non-coding RNA, 1980 nt
Organism: Chinchilla lanigera (long-tailed chinchilla)
Lineage: Eukaryota; Metazoa; Chordata; Mammalia; Rodentia; Chinchillidae
Exons: 2
Source: RefSeq, a predicted model, not a curated record
UUGCUGCCCAGCACCUCCUACCCUCCUGAUUUCUUGCUUGGUACCUGUGGUUUGCGUACAAAACUUUGUCCAGCACUGCAACAUAUUGGCUCCCUCCAGAGCAACUGUAUGCACUUGUAGCAGAAGACAGCCUGAGUGCACCCUGGCAAGAAUCAAGGCAGAUAUAUACCAACAUGUAUCCACGGUCCUAGAGCUUAUGUCGCCUGUGGUGUGAGGCUGGCUCUCCUGUAUUUCUCCUUAUUCCUGUGGUUUGGUCUUGGGGCAUCAGUUGACAGUGAGAUGUUUACUGCUCGUCCUUGGCAGCAUGGACUGCAAGUUACAUCCACCCAGAAUGAUGAGCGUGCCAGCCUCUUGGCUUAGCUUUUAAGCCUCUUAGCAGCUGCUUUUGUUUGGUUUCUUGGCAUCUUGCUCUCUACAUGCACAGCUUAGCGAUCAGGAAGUGGUUUGCAGAGAAACUGCACGCAGACUCAAUCUCCUUGGGUUCCCUUUUCUCUGUGUUCAUGGCCCAUCAAGUCCUGGCACCCUUGCAUCCUGCACUCCAAUCUCUUUGACUGUGCAAGCAAUGAGCUGUCACUUUCUGUUUAGAUUCCACACCCCAUGACAGUGCAUGAGUCAGCAAAUGAUCCCAGGGGACAGGAGAGCUGUAAAGGACUCACUUCAAAGCAUUUCUCUCCUUCCCAACUUCUCGGUCCUUCCAAUCCAGCCACCUCGAUUUCUCUCUGAUGCUCGCAGGCUACUGUUUCAUAUUUCACUUGAUUCGGCUUUCACAGUUCUCUAGCACAAGGGUUAUUCUGAUGCAAACUACUCCUUCACAGCCAGAAAUGGAAAUCCUCCCCCUUCUUUCCCCCCAAGAAAUAUACCAGGUGGCACAUUUUCUUAUUUAGUGAAAAUAUCUUUCUGUUGCCUUUACAUGUGGAAGCAAAAUUGACAUAGGACAAAAAUUCUUGGUUCACAAACACCUUUUCUUAAAAAUUCUGGCGAUGUGGCCCUGUAUUUGCACUCAGUAUUUCAGAGGAAAACUCUAACAGGGGGCUGAUGCCUGCCCUUUGUCACAGGUGUAAAAUUAACGUAAUGAAUGCUCUGAGCGAGAUCCUAAUGAGAACAGCGGCCUAGCAAGGCUCGCAUAGAAGUUCUGAAUGGGUGACACACAGGGGCUUCCUGGCCCCGAGCCCUGGUCAUAGCAGAAUGGAGGAUGUGGGAAGCUGAGGCAGAGCAGGAGGACUUUGGGGGCGCAGCUUUGGAAUGCUGGUCCUUACACUUCACUGGCUUCCUUCCUAUCAAGUGUUGGCAUGGCAGGUGAAGACUGAGGUGAAGAAACCUUGAGAUGCCUCCCAGCUCGAGACAAAGAAAGCGUUCCCGCAGUCUCCUGUCAGUUUAACAGCCACAUUUAAACGUUAAUACACUGGGUCUGGUCUCGAGGAAAUGAAAGAAACAUCCACAGCGAGAAAAGAUACUUUAAGGAAACCCACCGGAAGUACGGCAAGGUUUCAGAGAAGCAGGCCUGACUGUGUUUGUGUCCCUCGGUUUCCGCAGAUGAAAACAGAAAUCAUUCAAGGUAUUGGUAUGAUUUAGUAUGAUAUUACCAAGCUGUUAUACAGACUGGAAAUGUGAAAAGGAGAAGAUGGUACUUCCAGGAGUCCCAAUCUGCAGGAAGUUGUCACCACCCCUGUAGGAGCCAGGGAGCAUGGGAACCCUCCCACCCCAACUCAGGUUUAUCCCACAGCUCCAAGAGUUUGUGCUCAUGUGCUGGCCACACCAGGCAGGAAGCUAUACCUGCUGUCAUCAGAAUAGACACUUUUGGCAACACUGCAGAGGAGCCUUCAUCAAUGGCAGUAGAAUCCUCACAAAAGAGACCUCAUAGAGCUCCUGUCAUCUACUGCCAAGAAGUCAGCAAAUGAGAAGAGAGCCCUCACUGGAAGUCAGGCAUGCAGCAGUCUUCUGGUCUCCAGAACUGUGAGAAAGAAAUUUCUGUUAUUCAAA